This is a long non-coding RNA of Oryctolagus cuniculus (rabbit), 3549 nucleotides long. RefSeq lists it as uncharacterized. Lineage: Eukaryota; Metazoa; Chordata; Mammalia; Lagomorpha; Leporidae. The record is from RefSeq and is a predicted model, not a curated record.
UCCAUUGGUUCACUCCCCAAAUGGCCGCAAUGGCUGGAGCUGCACCGAUCCAGAGCCAGGAGCCAGGAGCUUCUUCCUGGUCUCCCACGCAGGUGCAGGGGCCCAAGCACUUGGGCCAUCUUCUGCUGUUUUCCCAGGCCAUAGCAGAGAGCUGGAUCGGAAUAGCAGCCAGGACUAGAACCGGCGUCCAUAUGGGAUGCCGGCACCGCUGCAGGCAGAGGAUUAACCUACUGCGCCAUGGCACCUGCCCCACUGCUCCAGUUCUGAUUCAGGUCCUGCUAAUGUGCCUAGGAAAGCAGUGGAAGAUAGCCCAAGUGCCUGGGUCCCUGCCACCCACAUGGGAGACCCAGAUGGAGCUCCACGCUCCUGGCUUUGGCCUGAUCCAGCCCUGCCGGUUGCAGCCAGAAUCUUCCUGUCUCUAUUCUCGAUCUCCCUCUCUCUCUCUGCAUGUAACUGCGUUUCAAAUAAAUAUUUAAAAAACUAGCUGUAGCAAUGUCACUUCUUAAAAGAUGGAUUCCAAAGUCCACCCUAGGCCUUUGGAAUGUCCAGGGCCCAGGCUAGGAAUCUGCUUCCCAAGGGCCAGGGUGGGGGUGAGGGGGGACGGCGUGUGUCCUUGGGAGGAGACACCUUCGGGAAACCCUGCCCCCCCCACAUUCUCUCGGGGUCCUGGCCCAGAGGGGGUUGGGGAGCAGAACUGCAAGGGGCUAACUUCCCACUCCGGAGCCAGCACGACCUGUCCCCGCCCAGGGCGCCUCGGCAUCUGGAUGACCCUGGGAGUCAGGAGGCCUGGCCUGGGAGGGCAGGGGGCCUCACCUCUCCAGCGGGGCCACAGCUCCCGCCCAGAGAAAACCCACGUACAACGCCCUCCUCCGAGUAGGGGCUCCGGGGACAGCGGCCCUGCGGACAGAGGCUCAGGGUCCUCGGCAGAGGAGCCUGGGGUCACAGAUGCCCUCUGUCCGGCAGUGCCCCGGAAGUGAUCCCCCGGCCUGACCACUCCUUCCGGCCAGCGGAGCGGAGCCGGAGUUUCGUCAGCGGCUGUGCGGCGUGCUGCCCUGCGCUGAGCUCCAGGCCAAGUGGCCCCUGAGACAGAGAUGGCGCAAUGGCCAGACCUGAGCCCAUCCGAUCCGAAGCCAGGAGCCAGGAGCCAGGAGCCAGGAGCCAGGAGCCUCUUCCGGGUCUCCCACGCGGGUGCAGGCGCCCAAGGACUUGGGCCAUCUUCUACUGCUCUCCGAGGCCACAGCAGAGAGCCGGAUCGGAAGAGGAGCAGCUGGGACUCGAACCGGCGCCCAUAUGUGGCUUUACCUGCUAUGCCACAGCGCCGGCACCUUUUAAUACUUCAAAAUUACCGGGAGUCCCAGUGCGAAGCCACAGGGACAGACGCUUGUGCUGCUUUUCCUGCGGCCCAGAGAGGCUAAGCACCUUGACAAGCUUGCACUGGUAAGUGGCAGAAUUGGGGCUGGAGUUCAGGUGUGUGCACCCCAAAGCCUGCACUUUCCUCAGAACCCCACUGCCCUGGGACGCGGGGGCUGAACAGUGAGGUGUUGCUGCGUGCCUGUCUGAAUGGCCCAGAUCCAGGACACCGGGAACACCAGAUGCUGGCACAGGGAGCUCGGGAACCCUUCCUCAUUGCUGACGGCAGUGCGAAACGCUGCAGCCACUUGGGAAGACGGCCGGCGGUGUCCUGCUAGACUAAACCUCCUCUUCCCGUGUGGCCCAGCCGUCUGUGAUGGUUAAGUGCGGUGUCAACUGCCUGGAUGGGAAGAUGCCAGACGGCUGGUACAGCGCUGUUCCUGGUGUGUGUGUGUGUGAUGGGUUCCAGAGCAGAUCUGGCAUGUGAGUCAGUGCACUGAGUGUGUGUGUGUGUGUGUGUGCAUGUGCGUGGGGGGGUGAUAGACUCUGAGAGGGGGCGAGCCGGGGACCCUGACGGAGCAGAAGGUCAGAGGGCAAGUGCUCCCCGAUGGGUCUCUGUCUCCCUGCCCCUCCCGGUACGGAACACCCUCUUCCUGCUUUUGUGCAUCAGAUGGCCCCUUUUUUGUUGUUAUUAAGAUUUAUUUAUUUAUCUAUCUAUCUAUCUAUCUAUCUAAAAGGCAGAGUGACACACAGAGAGGAUGAGACGGAGAGAGAGAUCUUCCGUCUGCUGGGUCACUCCCCAGAUGGCCGCAGUGUGGGGGGUGGACCAGGCUGAAGCCAAGGACAUGGAACUCCAUUCACAUCUCCCAUGAGGCUGGCAGGGACCCAAGUACUUGGACCAUCCUCUACUUUCCCAGGCACAUUAGCAGGUGUCUAAUUCUGAUGCUUUAUUAAAAUCUGACUCCCACACCGUGCAACUCAUCCAUUUAAAGUGUGCAGUGCAGUGGCUCUUAGUAUAUGAACAGUUGUUUCAGCUUCAUUCACCACAGUCAGCUUUAGAACAUUCUCAUUGCUCUACAGGGCCCCACUCGUUGGCUGUUACUUCCCAAACCACUCAUCUGCUUUCACACAACAUGUGGUCCCUCUGUCCCUGACUGUUUUUAGCAUAGUGUUUUCAAGUUUCAUCUAUAUUGUAGCAGGAGUCAGUGCUUCAUUUUUCAAAAAGACAUUUUAUUUUAUUUGAAAGGAGAAACAGAGGUCUUCCACCCACUGAUUCACUCCCCAGAUGGUCACAAUGUCCAGGGCUGGGCCACAAAAGCCAGGAGCCAGGAGUUCUUCAGGAUCUCCCAUGAGGGUGGUAGGGACCCAAGCACUUGAACCACCCUUUACUGCUUUUCCCAGGCACAUUAGCAGGGAGCUAGAUUGGAAGUGGAGCAGCAGGGGCAUUAAUGGGCUGCCAAAUGGGAUGCCUGCGUUGCAGGCGGCUUUACCCACUGUGCUACCACACCAGCCCCCGUCCUUCACUUUUUUAAAUGUUUAUUUACUCUUUUUCCUUUAUUUGAGAGACAGGGAGCUAGAAAUGGAGAACUCGUAUCUGUUGCUUCGCUCCCCAAAUGCCUCUAAGAGCCCAGGCUGCCCAGGCUGAAACCAGGAGUCAGGAAUCCAGGUCUCCUAUGUGGCUGGCAAGGACUCAAAUAGUUGAACCAUAACCACCUGGCUCCCCGGGUGUAUAACAGUAAGAAACUGGAUCGGAAAUCACGUAGCAAAGACUCGAACCAGGCACUCAAAUGUGGGAUGCAAGCUUUGCAGGGGGAGCCUGACUGCUGUGUCAGACGCCCACCCCUCACUUCUUUUGAUUGCCAAGUAAUAUCUCUUUGUGCACAUAGGCGGGAUUUUAACUAUCCGUUCACUCAUUCUGGCGCUUUGGGUUGUCUCAUUUUUUGGCUGUUAGGAAUAAUGCUGUUGUGAACACUUUUUUUUUUUUUAAAGAUUUAUUUAUUUAUUUGAAAGUGAGAGUUAUACAGAGAGAAGAAGAGAGGCAGAGAGAGAGAGAGAGAUGGAGGGAGGGAGGGAGGGAGAGAGGAAGGGAGGGAGGGAGGGAUGGAGGGAGGGAGAGAGGGGUCUUUCAUCCACUGGCUCACUCCCCAGUUGGCUGCUGGGAGCUGUGCCAAUCCGAAGCCAGGAGCCAGGAGCUUCCUC